RNAcentral lists this long non-coding RNA (810 nucleotides) under Penaeus japonicus. Its description in RNAcentral is "uncharacterized LOC122263859". Lineage: Eukaryota; Metazoa; Arthropoda; Malacostraca; Decapoda; Penaeidae. The record is from RNAcentral.
ACUAUCUAAGAAAGACAGGAAAGCAUGAAAAAACGUGUAAAUAGACUAACUGAUCACUCGUGACUUUAGUUAGUUCAACCAGCGCUAGAGUUCGCUCGUGUAUCGUUUAGAGAGAAUGGGCGCGCUGGUUUACGUCGUCUGCAUGUUUACAUUUGAGCCAUUUGACACAUGGAAGAUUGGAACACAAUUUGAAAGCAAUCAUGGUGGGAGGAGGCAAUCCCUGUGUCAUCUGUAAAAAAAGGAAGACUACUUAUCCUGAAUUUAUCUACCAUCGGUUUCCUAAAGAAUCACAAAGAUUCAGCUAAACCAGAUGAAACAGGAAGAAUAAUAAUGGAUAUUGGUAAGUGUUUAGAUUAGUUGAAAUUAUUCUAUUUUAUAGUCAAUACAUUGCAUAUGAUGUAAAAUAUUGUUUGCUUGCAUCUACUGUAUAGUAUUGUUUCUUUCCGUUUUGAAUAUUGAUUAUUAUUUUGUUUGCACAACUUAUUUUUUCCCAUUGCAUGAUUUUCUGUUUUAUGUACUAGUGCUUAUUUUUUUCUAUUAAAAAUAUUUGAGAAGCAUGAUUCUUUUUACUAGUUCUUUUUGACAGAGAUUUGACAUUGUCAAUUAAGUUAUGUUGUGUUGUUUAUUAAGUUCUGUGUUUUAUUUUACUUUUGCAUGACGCUUUUUGGUAUAUGUUGGCUGUUUUGAAUAUCUGUUACCUGUUCUCUUGUAUAUUUACAAGCUGGAGGUAAAUGUAUCCUGAGGUAUGAAGACUUUAUUUUAUCAUUUAUAAAUAUGUAUAUUUUUUAUUAAUAAAAUUAUGAAAUAAAA